AUCGAUGAAGAACGCAGCGAAUUGCGAUAAGUAAUGUGAAUUGCAGAAUUGUGAAUCAUCGAAUCUUUGAACGCACAUUGCGCCUUUUGGUAAUUCCAAAGGGCAUACCUGUUUGAGCGUCAUUUCACUCUUAAAUCGUUUGAUUUAGUAUUGAACUAUAUUUUUCUGUUGCAAAAUAGAAAAUAGUUUGAAAUUGAUUUGGCAAGAAGCAAUAUCCAGUUUGAAGCUUUCUUUUUACAACGUAAUAGGUUUUACCAACUCGUUGGCUAGUAAGGAGCUUUGUUAUAUUUGGAUAUAUCGCUUUGGCGUUAUAAUUUUUAAAAUUAAAAGUUUGACCUCAAAUCAGGUAAGACUACCCGCUGAACUUAAGCAUAUCAAUAAGCGGAGGAAAAGAAACCAACAGGGAUUGCCUUAGUAACGGCGAGUGAAGCGGCAAAAGCUCAAAUUUGAAAUCUGGCAGUAAUGUCCGAGUUGUAAUUUGAAGAAGGUAACUUUGGUGAUAGCUCUUGCAUAUGUUCCUUGGAACAGGACGUCAUAGAGGGUGAGAAUCCCGUAUAUGGUGAGAUGACAUAUUACUAUGUAAAGUGCCUUCGAAGAGUCGAGUUGUUUGGGAAUGCAGCUCUAAGUGGGUGGUAAAUUCCAUCUAAAGCUAAAUAUUGGCGAGAGACCGAUAGCGAACAAGUACAGUGAUGGAAAGAUGAAAAGAACUUUGAAAAGAGAGUGAAAAAGUACGUGAAAUUGUUGAAAGGGAAGGGCUUGAAAUCAGACUUGGUAUUCAAUGAUCAAUUUUCUUUCGGGGAGAUGCACUCGUUGUUUACUGGGCCAACAUCGAUUUAGACGGUGAGAUAAUGACAGUUGAAUGUGGCUUGCUUCGGUAAGUGUUAUAGCUUCUGUUGAUAUCAUCAGUUUGGAUCGAGGACUGCGCAUUUUUGCUAGGAUGUUGGCGUAAUGAUUUUAAGCCACCCGUCUUGAAACACGG
This 979-nucleotide ribosomal RNA is filed under the name uncultured Ascomycota. RNAcentral's name for it is "eukaryotic LSU rRNA". The stretch from base 333 to 979 matches the Rfam family "Eukaryotic large subunit ribosomal RNA", at positions 1 to 664 of the family's 3401-position model. Lineage: Eukaryota; Fungi; Ascomycota. The record is from RNAcentral.